This 371-nucleotide ribosomal RNA is filed under the name uncultured bacterium. RNAcentral describes it as "bacterial SSU rRNA". It matches the Rfam family "Bacterial small subunit ribosomal RNA", at positions 527 to 896 of the family's 1533-position model. The record is from RNAcentral.
AGAGGGGGCAAGCGUUGUUCGGAAUUACUGGGCGUAAAGGGCGCGUAGGCGGCCUGUUAAGUCGAACGUGAAAUCCCCGGGCUCAACCCGGGAACUGCGUCCGAUACUGGCAGGCUUGAAUCCGGGAGAGGGAUGUGGAAUUCCAGGUGUAGCGGUGAAAUGCGUAGAUAUCUGGAGGAACACCGGUGGCGAAGGCGGCAUCCUGGACCGGUAUUGACGCUGAGGCGCGAAAGCCAGGGGAGCAAACGGGAUUAGAUACCCCGGUAGUCCUGGCCCUAAACGAUGAAUGCUUGGUGUGGCGGGUAUCGAUCCCUGCCGUGCCGAAGCUAACGUAUUAAGCAUUCCGCCUGGGGAGUACGGUCGCAAGGNNG